This 468-nucleotide ribosomal RNA is filed under the name uncultured bacterium. RNAcentral describes it as "partial 16S ribosomal RNA". It matches the Rfam family "Bacterial small subunit ribosomal RNA", at positions 30 to 523 of the family's 1533-position model. The record is from RNAcentral.
AUUGAACGCUGGCGGCAUGCCUAAAACAUGCAAGUCGUGCGGUAACAGGGAGAAGCUUGCUUCUCUGCUGACGAGCGGCGGACGGCUGAGUAACGCGUGGGAAUCUGCCCCAAAGUGAGGGAUAACUGCCCGAAAGGGUGGCUAAUACCGCAUAUGGUCUUCGGAUUAAAGCUAUUAGCGCUUUGGGAGGAGCCCGCGUAAGAUUAGAUAGUUGGUGAGGUAAUGGCUCACCAAGUCGACGAUCUUUAACUGGUUUGAGAGGAUGAUCAGUCAGACUGGAACUGAGAAACGGCCCAGACUCCUACGGGAGGCAGCAGUUAGGAAUAUUCCACAAUGGGCGAAAGCCUGAUGGAGCAACGCCGCGUGGAGGAUGAAGGCCUUCGGGUUGUAAACUUCUUUUCUAUGCGAAGAAUAUGACGGUAACAUAGGAAUAAGGGUCUGCUAACUACGUGCCAGCCGCCGCCGUAA